AUUAAAUGAUAGUCGAUUGCAUUAAUUGCGAAUUCAAUUAAUUGUCGUGAUUGCUGCUAACUGUUAUAACAUAAUUGUUAUAUUCGAUUGCUUUAGUAGCUUAGUCUAUUAAAUUGCGUCUGAGAUGUGUUAUUCUAUAAAUUGACGCGAAUUUGAUUUCUGUGAGAACUUUUGUGAUUCUAACAUUUUCAUAUCUUUUGCAGAAAGCUGUGAUUUUAUAGAAAGAAAAGAAAAGCUCCAAGAAACAAGAGUGACCGUGGUGAUCAACUACUUGUGAUUUCUUGAAGAGCAAGACUGUUGUGUUUUUCAAAGGCUGAUCAACUUGCACAUUUGGGUGUCAUUGAGAGAUCAGAUUCUGCAUUCUUUUGAAGAUUGGUUUGAGGUUCCCUGUUGUGAUUACAGGAAGAAGAGUGUGUGGUGUUCUUGACUUUAAGAGUGUCUCAAAGGGUUUAGACAACAGGAGAGGGGAUUCUUGCCGCUGGUCUUGUUGUGUACUGCCUAUAUUUUGAUUAGAGGGUUAGAGAGGUGUUUUAUAUUUUUGACGUGUGGUCGCUAUAAAAGCCUUAUUGGAAGACUUGUUCAUCAAGAAGCAAUGACAAUGACAAUAGGAAGAAGAAGAAAUGAUACACCAAGGAAAGACUUAUUCCUUAGGAGGAAUGACAUUAACAAUGGAAAGAAGAAAAUAUGACCGAGAAGGAGGACACAAACUUGGAAAUAUAUGCAAAUGAGUUAAUUUGUCUGUUAAUUUCCAACAAACCUAUGGGCAAGGUUACAAGAUUGGAAAUAUAUGCACAUGAGUUUGUUUGUUUGUCCAUCCCCAACAAACCUAUGAGUAGUCAAAGUCAUACCUAUAGUUUGGUUUUUUAUUUGCAUAAAUUUCUUUUGCUUUUAUUUGAGCAUAACAUCUUUACUUUAAAAUUAUUUUAUGUUUGUAGAUGAGUAUUUGACCCUGCAGGUAGACCUCUAACCCUUUAAUAAUAAGAUAUUUCUUUCUUUCUA
This is a long non-coding RNA of Vigna angularis (adzuki bean), 999 nucleotides long. RefSeq lists it as uncharacterized. The transcript is spliced from 2 exons. Lineage: Eukaryota; Viridiplantae; Streptophyta; Magnoliopsida; Fabales; Fabaceae. The record is from RefSeq and is a predicted model, not a curated record.